This 329-nucleotide ribosomal RNA is filed under the name uncultured eukaryote. RNAcentral describes it as "partial 18S ribosomal RNA". It matches the Rfam family "Eukaryotic small subunit ribosomal RNA", at positions 1470 to 1796 of the family's 1831-position model. The record is from RNAcentral.
CCCUUAGAUGUCCUGGGCCGCACGCGCGCUACACUGAGUGUCUGAGAUACGAGUCUGCCUGGUCCGGCAAGGUCUAGGUAAUCGCUAAAAGACACAUCAUGCUUGGGAUAGAUUAUUGCAAAUAUUAAUCUUGAACGAGGAAUUCCUAGUAAGCGCAAGUCAACAGCUUGCGUUGAUUACGUCCCUGCCCUUUGUACACACCGCCCGUCGCUACUACUGAUUGGAUGUUUAAGCGAGGUUCUCGAACUGCUAGCGACUUAGCUUCGGUGAGGUCGCAGUGUGGGAAGUGAACCUAGCGUUGGUGUCUAGAGGAAGUAAAAGUCGUAACA